This 450-nucleotide ribosomal RNA is filed under the name uncultured bacterium. RNAcentral's name for it is "bacterial SSU rRNA". It matches the Rfam family "Bacterial small subunit ribosomal RNA", at positions 354 to 796 of the family's 1533-position model. The record is from RNAcentral.
GUGGGGAAUAUUGGACAAUGGGCGAAAGCCUGAUCCAGCCAUGCCGCGUGUGUGAAGAAGGUCUUCGGAUUGUAAAGCACUUUAAGUUGGGAGGAAGGGCAGUAAGUUAAUACCUUGCUGUUUUGACGUUACCGACAGAAUAAGCACCGGCUAACUUCGUGCCAGCAGCCGCGGUAAUACGAAGGGUGCAAGCGUUAAUCGGAAUUACUGGGCGUAACGCGCGCGUAGGUGGUUUUGUAAGUUGGAGGUGAAAUCCCCGGGCUCAACCUGGGAACUGCCUCCAAAACUGCAUGACUAGAGUACGGUAGAGGGUAGUGGAAUUUCCUGUGUAGCGGUGAAAUGCGUAGAUAUAGGAAGGAACACCAGUGGCGAAGGCGACUACCUGGACUGAUACUGACACUGAGGUGCGAAAGCGUGGGGAGCAAACAGGAUUAGAUACCCCGGUAGUCC